AUUAAAAACCAAUGCCCUUCGGGGCUCUCUGGUGAUUCAUAAUAACUUCUCGAAUCGCACGGCCUUGCGCCGGCGAUGGUUCAUUCAAAUUUCUGCCCUAUCAACUUUCGACGGCUGGGUCUUGGCCAGCCGUGGUGACAACGGGUAACGGAGGGUUAGGGCUCGACCCCGGAGAAGGAGCCUGAGAAACGGCUACUACAUCCAAGGAAGGCAGCAGGCGCGCAAAUUACCCAAUCCCGACACGGGGAGGUAGUGACAAUAAAUACUGAUACAGGGCUCUUUCGGGUCUUGUAAUUGGAAUGAGUACAAUUUAAAUCCCUUAACGAGGAACAAUUGGAGGGCAAGUCUGGUGCCAGCAGCCGCGGUAAUUCCAGCUCCAAUAGCGUAUAUUAAAGUUGUUGCAGUUAAAAAGCUCGUAGUUGAACUUCAGACCUGGCCGGAUGGUCUGCCUAACGGUAUGUACUGUCUGGCUGGGCCUUACCUCUUGGUGAGCCGGCAUGCCCUUCACUGGGUGUGUC
This 518-nucleotide ribosomal RNA is filed under the name uncultured fungus. Its description in RNAcentral is "SSU rRNA". It matches the Rfam family "Eukaryotic small subunit ribosomal RNA", at positions 214 to 733 of the family's 1831-position model. Lineage: Eukaryota; Fungi. The record is from RNAcentral.